This 2562-nucleotide long non-coding RNA is filed under the name Ananas comosus (pineapple). RNAcentral describes it as "long non-coding RNA (ACOM_LNC034830)". The record is from RNAcentral. Lineage: Eukaryota; Viridiplantae; Streptophyta; Magnoliopsida; Poales; Bromeliaceae.
ACUAUUUGAUAAGUUGAGUUGGGGUAUGAAUUGGAAUUGAAGUGAGAUAGUUUCGAGGACGAAACUCUUUUAAGGAAGGGAGGAUGUAAGGUACCGAACUUCUAAAAUUAUGAAGUUACGGUAUAUAUUUGGUUUGAAAGCCAUUUGAAUGGUUCUGGUGAGGUUGCGAUGAAAUGUAAUAUACAGAAUUUUUAAAUAUAAAAAUAGAANGGUUGUGCAUGUAAGGAAGUGAAUUCUCGAAAUUCGAGAGUUGUGCUUCGUCCAGGAUCGACUAUUUGUCGAGUGAGUAUCCUUCGGAAAAGCUAAGGAUGUCCAAAACACAAAAAGUGCAUUGGAAACGUGUCCGCGAGAGCAAAUAUGCAAAAAUCUGGGCUUAGCAAAUUUUGCUCUCGGGGACCGGUCCCUGGAAGGGAGGACCGGUCCCCGUAGCUGAUGGUUGCGGGGGAGGUUGGUGCAACGGUCCCUGGCUGAGGGGACCGGUCCCCGUAUGCGACACCAGCGAAAAAAGGGCUAAGUCCUGGAAAUUCAGCUCUCGGGAACCAGUCUCUCAGGAAGGACCGGUCUCCCAAGGACCGAUCUCUCGGGCGGGGACCGGUUCCUGUACGCGAAGGGUCCCCAGGCCGCAGGGAGGGCUCUCGGGGACCGGUCUCCCCGACGAGGGACCGGUCCCUCUAGGUGCAGAAUGCCUAGUGAGGGCUGUGCACAAGGAUGAAAAUUGAGGGGCUUAUUUGCACUUAUGCAACAUGUGGGGCUAUGUGAGGGGUAUGAGAGCUCUUUUCUCUCAUUUCUCACCCACACACCCUCUCAUAUCUCUCUUUCUCUCUCUAGAAGACAAGAAGAGGAAGAAGAAAGGAAAGGAAAGAAAGAGAAGGAGAAGGAGGUCUUCCUCAUCUUCUUCAUCUUCUCCUUGGUUGGAGCUUCUUGGAGAGGUAAGCUUCUAAGCUCUCUCUCAUGGUGGAUUUCUAGAGAUAGGUUUGAUUGCUCUAGAAAUGGAGUUUUGUGUUAUCUGAGGGCGUAGUACCUGCCAGUACAGGUAUAGAGCCAGAUGGCACUAGCGAAGUGCUAGAAGUAAUCUAUGGCGAGAAGUGAGACUCGCGGUAGAGAUAGAAGUGGCGAAACGACUCUCAGAGCAAUAUGAGUAGUAAAUUGCGAGAGUUGAGCCAUGAUGCUUAUGAGAACACCCGAGUAGUCCAAAAAUUUCGGAUGUCAUUCCGAUAGAUCGAACAGUGAAAGUAGCAUCACUGUUUAGAGAACGGUCGAUUAGUGGCCAAGUUUGAGCACGUGGGCCUAGUAGUACCUCAAGGUGAGGUAGGCAGUUGCGCUCGUGCGGCCGGUGUGCAUAGGCAUGAUUGCCUAAUGCUGGACUUAGAGUGGGACGCUAUAGAGGCGUAUAGAGCGCUCGAGUGUGGGUACUCGUAGAGUGCGGUUUCGAUUCAGCCGGGAGAGUGAGUUGGUAGUAGCACUCAGCAUUGCUAAGUGUGAAGCGGGCCAUGGAUCACUCGUGGGGCUGGUGGCUCGCACUAGGUGCAUAGGAGCCGAUAGUGAUACGUAUUGCUCGAUAGAGCGUGUAAUGCGAUUGAUAGUAUACUGAGAGUACGAUUGUGACCCAACCCGAGAAUUUGAUACGGUUUGGGAUCUUGGUUGCUCCUGGUUGGAGUGUGUGCGAAUUCCCAAGUGAGAAUUUCGCCCCAGUUAUGAUUGGGUCUACGCUUGCGAGCGAGAGGCGCUACGCAUAUGUUGAGAUGGGUUUAGGCUGUAGGCCUACGUAGUAUUGGUGGCCUUUGGCUCACCUGUGAAAAACCGAGGAAAGUGAUUUGGCGAGUAGCCUUAUUGGGGAGUUUGACUUGAGUUCACGAACGAUGUGCUCGUGUGAGUCGUUGCGAAAGUGGUAUGAUGUUGACCGUGGCAUAUGGUAUUAGGUAAUGAGGUGCUCUUGGCGAGGCCUUGAGCUAAUGGCCAGCCACGUAGAAGUGGAAUUGGGAUGCGCCGAGGUGGGCCAUCUCACGUCAAAGUUAAGGGCUAGUGCAGAAUUAAAGCACUUAUGAUGAAGCGGUGCACCGGUGAUAUUGCUUUUAGGCAAUGUCGGUGAUUGAUUUGGAAUGCAUUCCCUGAAGGGGAAGUAAAUGCAAGGAAGAGUUCUUGCUUGUCAAGUGGCAAGUGGUGUUGGAGAGCGUAGAGUCAUCGAGUUUCGACUUGCACUACCACAUAGAGUGACGGAGACCGUAAUUUACUUUGUGAGGUGUGCCUUGCAAAGUUGGAUGCAUUUGGUAUCAUGAGCUCCGUAGUAGUCCUUUUGGAUAGUUCCGAUGAGUGAAAGGCUACUCCGAGAUGCAAAAGUGCAUUAGGACCCUCAACUAUUUGAUAAGUUGAGUUGGGGUAUGAAUUGGAAUUGAAGUGAGAUAGUUUCGAGGACGAAACUCUUUUAAGGAAGGGAGGAUGUAAGGUACCGAACUUCUAAAAUUAUGAAGUUACGGUAUAUAUUUGGUUUGAAAGCCAUUUGAAUGGUUCUGGUGAGGUUGCGAUGAAAUGUAAUAUACAGAAUUUUUAAAUAUAAAAAUAGAA